This 604-nucleotide ribosomal RNA is filed under the name uncultured Pseudomonadota bacterium. RNAcentral's name for it is "bacterial SSU rRNA". It matches the Rfam family "Bacterial small subunit ribosomal RNA", at positions 73 to 669 of the family's 1533-position model. The record is from RNAcentral. Lineage: Bacteria; Pseudomonadati; Pseudomonadota.
AGGGAGCUUGCUCCCCGGGUGACGAGCGGCGGACGGGUGAGUAAUGUCUGGGAAACUGCCUGAUGGAGGGGGAUAACUACUGGAAACGGUAGCUAAUACCGCAUAACGUCGCAAGACCAAAGAGGGGGACCUUCGGGCCUCUUGCCAUCAGAUGUGCCCAGAUGGGAUUAGCUAGUAGGUGGGGUAAUGGCUCACCUAGGCGACGAUCCCUAGCUGGUCUGAGAGGAUGACCAGCCACACUGGAACUGAGACACGGUCCAGACUCCUACGGGAGGCAGCAGUGGGGAAUAUUGCACAAUGGGCGCAAGCCUGAUGCAGCCAUGCCGCGUGUGUGAAGAAGGCCUUCGGGUUGUAAAGCACUUUCAGCGAGGAGGAAGGUGGUGAGCUUAAUACGCUCAUCAAUUGACGUUACUCGCAGAAGAAGCACCGGCUAACUCCGUGCCAGCAGCCGCGGUAAUACCGGAGGGUGCAAGCGUUAAUCGGAAUUACUGGGCGUAAAGCGCACGCAGGCGGUUUGUUAAGUCAGAUGUGAAAUCCCCGGGCUCAACCUGGGAACUGCAUUUGAAACUGGCAAGCUAGAGUCUCGUAGAGGGGGGUAGAAUUC